CAGCACCUCAAGUGGUCAGGAUGAUUAUUGGGCCUAAAGCAUCCGUAGCCGGCUCUGUAAGUUUUCGGUUAAAUCUGUACGCUUAACGUACAGGCUGCCGGGAAUACUGCAGAGCUAGGGAGUGGGAGAGGUAGACGGUACUCGGUAGGAAGGGGUAAAAUCCUUUGAUCUAUUGAUGACCACCUGUGGCGAAGGCGGUCUACCAGAACACGUCCGGCGGUGAGGGAUGAAAGCUGGGGGAGCAAACCGGAUUAGAGACCCGAGUAGUCC
Molecule: ribosomal RNA, 270 nt
Filed under: uncultured archaeon
Lineage: Archaea
Description: partial 16S ribosomal RNA
Rfam family: Archaeal small subunit ribosomal RNA
Source: RNAcentral